GUCUUACCAGACACGGUUAGACCUGGGUCCUUCUGUCUAAUACUGUCUGGUAAUGCCGU
This 59-nucleotide microRNA precursor is filed under the name Pteropus alecto (black flying fox). Its description in RNAcentral is "microRNA pal-mir-429 precursor". Its record names the gene pal-mir-429. RNAcentral also lists the same sequence under 1 other name. Lineage: Eukaryota; Metazoa; Chordata; Mammalia; Chiroptera; Pteropodidae. The record is from miRBase by way of RNAcentral.